GUGCCAGCCGCCGCGGUAAUACGGGGGGGGCAAGCGUUGUUCGGAAUUAUUGGGCGUAAAGGGAGCGUAGGCGGUGUGGCAAGUCUGGUGUGAAAUCUCCGAGCUUAACUCGGAGCGGUCAUCAGAAACUGCCAUGCUCGAGUGUGGGAGAGGAGAGUGGAAUUCCCGGUGUAGCGGUGAAAUGCGUAGAUAUCGGGGGGAACACCAGUGGCGAAGGCGGCUCUCUGGACCACAACUGACGCUGAGGCUCGAAAGCUAGGGGAGCAAACAGGAUUAGAAACCCGGGUAGUCC
This 292-nucleotide ribosomal RNA is filed under the name uncultured bacterium. Its description in RNAcentral is "partial 16S ribosomal RNA". It matches the Rfam family "Bacterial small subunit ribosomal RNA", at positions 505 to 796 of the family's 1533-position model. The record is from RNAcentral.